This 253-nucleotide ribosomal RNA is filed under the name uncultured bacterium. RNAcentral describes it as "partial 16S ribosomal RNA". It matches the Rfam family "Bacterial small subunit ribosomal RNA", at positions 524 to 776 of the family's 1533-position model. The record is from RNAcentral.
UACGUAGGGUGCGAGCGUUGUCCGGAAUUACUGGGCGUAAAGAGCUCGUAGGUGGUUUGUCGCGUUGUUCGUGAAAACUCACAGCUUAACUGUGGGCGUGCGGGCGAUACGGGCAGACUGGAGUACUGCAGGGGAGACUGGAAUUCCUGGUGUAGCGGUGGAAUGCGCAGAUAUCAGGAGGAACACCGGUGGCGAAGGCGGGUCUCUGGGCAGUAACUGACGCUGAGGAGCGAAAGCGGGGGGAGCGAACAGG